RNAcentral lists this ribosomal RNA (254 nucleotides) under uncultured bacterium. Its description in RNAcentral is "partial 16S ribosomal RNA". It matches the Rfam family "Bacterial small subunit ribosomal RNA", at positions 524 to 776 of the family's 1533-position model. The record is from RNAcentral.
CACGUAGGGGCCAAGCGUUGUCCGGAUUUAUUGGGCGUAAAGAGCUCGUAGGCGGUUCGACAAGUCGGGUGUGAAAACUCCGGGCUCAACCCGGAGACGCCACCCGAUACUGUCGUGACUGGAGUCCGGUAGGGGAGUGGGGAAUUCCUGGUGUAGCGGUGAAAUGCGCAGAUAUCAGGAGGAACACCCGUGGCGAAGGCGGCUCUCUGGGACGGUACUGACGCUGAGACGCGAAAGCGUGGGGAGCGAACAGG